Molecule: ribosomal RNA, 468 nt
Filed under: uncultured bacterium
Lineage: Bacteria
Description: partial 16S ribosomal RNA
Rfam family: Bacterial small subunit ribosomal RNA
Source: RNAcentral
GACGAACGCUGGCGGCGUGCUUAACACAUGCAAGUCGAACGGAAAGGCCCUGCUUUUGUGGGGUGCUCGAGUGGCGAACGGGUGAGUAACACGUGAGUAACCUGCCCUUGACUUUGGGAUAACUUCAGGAAACUGGGGCUAAUACCGGAUAGGAGCUCCUGCUGCAUGGUGGGGGUUGGAAAGUUUCGGCGGUUGGGGAUGGACUCGCGGCUUAUCAGCUUGUUGGUGGGGUAGUGGCUUACCAAGGCUUUGACGGGUAGCCGGCCUGAGAGGGUGACCGGCCACAAGGGGACUGAGAUACGGCCCAGACUCCUACGGGAGGCAGCAGUGGGGAAUAUUGCACAAUGGGCGGAAGCCUGAUGCAGCAACGCCGCGUGCGGGAUGACGGCCUUCGGGUUGUAAACCGCUUUCGCCUGUGACGAAGCGUGAGUGACGGUAAUGGGUAAAGAAGCACCGGCUAACUACGUG